RNAcentral lists this long non-coding RNA (3142 nucleotides) under Sus scrofa (pig). RNAcentral's name for it is "lncRNA (ENSSSCG00000062471.1)". The record is from RNAcentral. Lineage: Eukaryota; Metazoa; Chordata; Mammalia; Artiodactyla; Suidae.
CUAACUGACAAUCUGGUGUCUUUUCUCUCUUUUGCCAGCAUGCCUGCCUCCAACAUUCUCCUCCUCUUCUGAUUGGCAGCUGCUAGUCUGGUGAGGUCUGAGAAUCCAGAUAGCCUCACUUGUCACAAUACAGUCUAAAGUAAAACUGAGUGGGUUCCCUGGAAGGAACUAAUGUGCUCACCAAGGAGUAAAGCACAUGAACCUUAGUGCAUAGAUUCUGUGACACAUUUGGACCGCUCAACUGUUGCUCUGAAAAUAUUCUUUUUGCUUCUUAGCAAGAGUUUUAGAUGAUUGCAGUUGGUAGAUAAACAACUUCCUAAGUCAGGUUAUAUCAAGUUUUGGUCUUGCCCUCCAACACUAGUGUUAAAAAAGUCUGCUGCAAUAUGUUAGGUGACUUAACAAAGCUGCUCACCUCAUUAUUAAGCUCUCUUCUCAACCUCACAGAACUCCAAUCAUUGAAAUCCUGAACUCUUUUUGGUAGUGCAUUAGUGUUAAGUAAAUUGCACACCUUUUGCAGAAUUCAUUUUUACUUAAUCAUUCUAAUUGUGUUGGGGCUAUUUUGUUGUUCUUUGUUUUUUUUUUUUUUUUUUGAAAAAAUCAAUACCUAAGUUUCCUGGCUAAGAGAGUCAUUGCAAGGAUACUGGGGCAUAUAUGUAAUAUAAGAAUGCCUAUUCAGUAAUUUGUGUAGUGAAGACAACUCUCAUAUAACCAAUCGUGAUGUGAAAAAGACACCCUUGAGCUUAUAUACUUAAACACACAAGUAGGUUUACAAACCCUGGGGUUCCUGUGGGCUCAGAGACUUACAGUUCGGGCUCAAUAUGUUCAUCCCCCACAAAGAAGGCAUCUGGGAGAGGCGUGCUUAUGAUGUGCUCCCUGAGUCUGUCCUGCUAGAGCAUUGUUCACACCAGUUGGUGACAGGAUGUUUAACCAUUCUAAGUUCAAGUACUACAGCCCCAGGGGCCAUAUCCCUCUCGUUCACAUUUGGGUACCUCCAUCACUUAUCCCUGGCACACUGUGUGUGCCAGCGGUAGCCAUCCGGUAGAUAUUGGACAAGAUACUGUCAUAGCCACAGGACAGAGUCUUUAAUUCUACUUGGGGUUCAGGUGUGGGGUAAGGCAAUUCAGGGAAAGUUUUACAGAGAACAGAGUGCUUCAGCUGGCCAUUCAUAGGUAAGAAGAAUUUGCCAAGUAGGCAAAGUGGAAAGCGGUUCUCAGAAAAGGAAAAGACUCUUUAAGUAGCAAAGUGUGAAGAAAACAAAAAUGGACAUUGAGAAGUAUUGAGCCCACUUUCUACACCAUGAACUAGUGACUAGUGAACUAUGACAGCUGACAAAAACAUUCAAAUGGGAUCUCAAUGUAGUUAGGUUGUUAUGUCUCUCAGUCUCUUAGAGAAGCACUGUCCAAUAAAAAUACAAAGCUAGCCAUAAAUGUGAGUUACAAAGGCACUUUAAAAUUUUCUGAUAGCCAAUUUUUUUAAAUACAAAGAAACAGGUAAAAUUAAUUUUAAUAAUAUAUUUCACCUAUAAUAUCAAAAAUAUCAUUCUGUGUGUACACACAUAAAAUUAUUCAUUAGAUAUUUUACAUUCUUUCACGCUAAGUUUUUAAUAUCCAGUGUGGUUUUUACACUCCUAACCUAUCUGGAUUUGGACUAGUCACCCUCAAGUGCUUAACAGCCACAUGUGGCCAGUGGCUACCACGUGGACAGUGCAGCUCUAGGGGACAAAUGAAGUCUUUAAUAGUACAGUUAAAGGAAGAUUUAAGAUGAAAAUCUAAAUCUUGUGAAAUCUGUGAUUUUAUUUGUGUUGAUUACAGGUGUUUAGCUAUGUUACAAAGAUCACUUUCUUGUGUCUAAGCUUUUAUGCCAAUUAGAGAAUCAGCAAAGUUUACAUUUUAUGUACUGUGUCUUCAUUAACCAUACUGUAGUUACAGCUACUUCUAGUUCUAAUAACUCUGGUGGUAGACUGUCAGUGUAAACUGGCUUUAUAGCAGGAAUAAAACUCUAUAAAUUUGGGGUUGAAUAAACUUUAAAAAAAUCUUCCUUAGAACACAGAACUACCCCUACGCUCUUACUGUCAAGCAUCUUCCUGGCAAUAGAAGCCUAAGAUUUUGCCCUUCAAUUCUUCCAUUCCCAGUUACUUGUAGAGUAUAAAUGUACCCCAGUCUUUGUUUGAGGCAGUGACCUGCUGGAAGCUGCAGCAGUAAGGAUGUGCUGCAGUGCCCUGAGUACUGAGAAAGGUCUGAAGAGCUAAGAUGAAGAUGUUUAAACACCCUGUCUGCAGGUUACUGUGCAGUUUUCCCUAAUGAGCCUGGAGCCCUUUUACUUUCAGUGGGGCAUGAGUGCCAAGGACUGGCAAAAUGAGGACACUCAGAUUCUACAAUAAAAUGAAUCCUGAAAGCUGGAUCUUUUUUUUUUUUUUUUUUUUUUUUUGGCUUUUUAGGGCUGUACCUGCGGCAUAUGAAAGUUCCCAGGCCAGGGGUCAAAUUGGAGCUGCAGCUGCUGGCCACAGCCACGGCCACAGCAAUGCAGGAUCUGUGACCUACACUACAGCUCCUGGCAACACCAGAUCCUUAACUCACUGAGCAAGGUCAGGGUUCAAAUCUGCAUCCUCAUGGAUUCUAGUUGGGUUCGUUAACUGUUGAGCCACGAAGGGAACUCCAAAAAGCUAGAUCUUAAAAACAAAACAAAACAAAAAACCCUGACAGUGAUUGCAUACAAGCAUUUAAAAGUGUGUAAGGAAAGGGCAGAUACUUUAAUGGAAGGCAAACAUGGAUGCUCCCCAAACAAGAAAUGUCUGGUAUAGUUAAGCAGUCCAAAAAGCUAAUAAAUCCCAAUGAAACUAAGAAAAACCUGCCAAUUUUGAUGCCAUAGCAACUUAAUAAAAUUUACAACUGAAAGUAAAUAUUGCUAUAACUGGAUCACCUUGCUCUAUACCUGAAAUUAACACAACAUUGUAAAUCAAAUGUAUUUCAAUUAAAAAAAUAAAAAUUAAGAAAAGAAAGCAAAUAUAACAUGGAAUCCUAUCCUUUCACAUAGAAAUGGGUCAAGUAGAUCUCAUUAAGCAUUCUUACCAUAAAUGAACACAAAAUUUAUUUUUGGGAUUUCACAAAUAUACAUUUGUAUAAUAAUAAAUCAUUUGGGUAAA